UACGGAGAGUGCGAACGUUGUUCGGAUUCACUGGGCGUAAAGGGCACGUAGGCGGCUCAGCAAAUCAGUCGUGGAAUCCCGACGCUUACCGUCGGAACGGCGGCUGAAAAUACUGGGCUUGAGGGCGUGAGGGGUCACUGGAACUCCCGGUGAAGCGGUGAAAUGCGUAGAUAUCGGGAGGAACGCCGGAGGCGAAAGCGAGUGACUGGCGCGUUCCUGACGCUGAGGUGCGAAAGCUAGGGGAGCAAAC
Molecule: ribosomal RNA, 250 nt
Filed under: uncultured bacterium
Lineage: Bacteria
Description: partial 16S ribosomal RNA
Rfam family: Bacterial small subunit ribosomal RNA
Source: RNAcentral